Phyllostomus discolor (pale spear-nosed bat) is the source of this 122-nucleotide small nucleolar RNA. RefSeq annotates it as small nucleolar RNA SNORA28. The transcript has a single exon. The record is from RefSeq and is a predicted model, not a curated record. Lineage: Eukaryota; Metazoa; Chordata; Mammalia; Chiroptera; Phyllostomidae.
AGACAACACUCCGGCAGAUGAUUAAAACUCUCUGACACAGUGUGAGCUUGUUGUAGCAGAAAGUCUAACCUAUUCGGUGCUCUCUCCUCUGUGAGACAAGCCGUUAUAUAGACUUAGAGAGU